CUUUUAUUGUGUCAGUCUAGCUCGCAGACUGCAGUCAGCAGUCAGAGCAGAGCACUACAGCGGGAUGCCGCGUCACUCAGCGCGUGUCUGCUCGUUCAAUAUAAAGACGAGAGCAGCUGAGAGAGCGCCGCAGUCCUCACACACACACACACACACACACACCUGUAAGGAAUUACCUACUUGCGACGGGAAUAACUUUAACAAGGUGAAAAACAAGAUCUGAUAUAUGUGAGAGGACAUGUUGAAAUGGCAGAAUGAUUUACAUGCAACCGAAUUUAAUUGGGAAAAAAGUUGACAACAACAGAAGAGAAUAACGAGAGAGAGAGAGAACAAUAAUCUACUGAUGUGAUGUGUAUACAGUAUAU
Sinocyclocheilus anshuiensis is the source of this 365-nucleotide long non-coding RNA. RefSeq lists it as uncharacterized. Lineage: Eukaryota; Metazoa; Chordata; Actinopteri; Cypriniformes; Cyprinidae. The record is from RefSeq and is a predicted model, not a curated record. The transcript is spliced from 3 exons.